This is a non-coding RNA of Pangasius djambal, 81 nucleotides long. The record is from the annotation of a GenBank genome assembly. Lineage: Eukaryota; Metazoa; Chordata; Actinopteri; Siluriformes; Pangasiidae.
CCCCUGAUGGUCUAGUGGCUACUCUCUCUUGGAUUCAGUGCUCUCACUGCUGCUGCCCGGGUUUGAUUCCUGGUCAUGGAA